GGAAGGGUGUUCCGAAUUGGUAAGGAACCGCUCUCGAAAAGCGGCGCCCGCAAGGGCAUGUGGGUUCAAGUCCCACCCCUUCCGCCA
This 87-nucleotide transfer RNA is filed under the name Candidatus Zambryskibacteria bacterium RIFCSPHIGHO2_01_FULL_35_32. Its description in RNAcentral is "tRNA-Ser". It matches the Rfam family "tRNA". Rfam says of the family: Transfer RNA (tRNA) molecules are approximately 80 nucleotides in length. Their secondary structure includes four short double-helical elements and three loops (D, anti-codon, and T loops). RNAcentral also lists the same sequence under 1 other name. The record is from RNAcentral. Lineage: Bacteria; Candidatus Zambryskiibacteriota.